GACGAACGCUGGCGGCGUGCUUAACACAUGCAAGUCGAACGGUGAACCUCUUCGGAGGGGAUCAGUGGCGAACGGGUGAGUAACACGUGGGCAACCUGCCCCCGGCUCUGGGAUAACUCCAAGAAAUUGGGGCUAAUACCGGAUGUUCACCGCUUCCCGCAUGGGUGGUGGUGGAAAGGGUUUCCGGCUGGGGAUGGGCCCGCGGCCUAUCAGCUUGUUGAUGGGGUAGUGGCCUACCAAGGCGACGACGGGUAGCCGGCCUGAGAGGGUGACCGGCCACACUGGGACUGAGACACGGCCCAGACUCCUACGGGAGGCAGCAGUGGGGAAUAUUGCGCAAUGGGCGGAAGCCUGACGCAGCGACGCCGCGUGGGGGAUGACGGCCUUCGGGUUGUAAACCUCUUUCAGCAGGGACGAAGCGCAAGUGACGGUACCUGCAGAAGAAGCACCGGCCAACUACGUG
This 463-nucleotide ribosomal RNA is filed under the name uncultured bacterium. Its description in RNAcentral is "partial 16S ribosomal RNA". It matches the Rfam family "Bacterial small subunit ribosomal RNA", at positions 28 to 507 of the family's 1533-position model. The record is from RNAcentral.